GAAGAUGUGGCUCAACUGUAGAGCGCUUGCCCAGCAUACAUGAAGCCCUGGGUUUGAUCCCCAGGAUCAUCA
RNAcentral lists this transfer RNA (72 nucleotides) under Mesocricetus auratus (golden hamster). It matches the Rfam family "tRNA". Rfam says of the family: Transfer RNA (tRNA) molecules are approximately 80 nucleotides in length. The record is from Rfam by way of RNAcentral. Lineage: Eukaryota; Metazoa; Chordata; Mammalia; Rodentia; Cricetidae.